Molecule: long non-coding RNA, 930 nt
Filed under: Anser brachyrhynchus (Pink-footed goose)
Lineage: Eukaryota; Metazoa; Chordata; Aves; Anseriformes; Anatidae
Description: lncRNA (ENSABRG00000014460.1)
Source: RNAcentral
UUAGCAUGUGCAGGGAAGAGCAACAAAGCUGAUGAAGGGACUGGAAAACAAGACGUGAGUUGCAGCUGAGGGAGCUGGGGCUGUUUAGUCUGGAGAGGAGGAGGCUGAGGACAGAUCUCAUCUUUCAGGUAGUUAUAGAGAGUGUCUUUAAGUAAGGUGGGUGUUGGUCUCUCCUGGUUAAGCUAUGCAAAGUUUACUGCACAGUGCAGGAGAAGCAAACAGCUCUGCAUCCAAGGGUACUCUCAUCUGCCAGCCAUGCUUGUCUGUCCUAUGUGCCAUAAACUGACCAUAUCAAUCCACAAAAUGUGAAGCACUUCUGUUACUAGAAUAAUGAAUGUGUUGAUGUCAUCAUAAUUACUAUGACAUCAGGUUUUCCCUGAUGUUACAAACACUUGCAAUAGCACUCGAGUUUUCAUUUUCUUGGCAUAAGUUUUGAGAAUAGUUUCUAUCUUGGAGUUUUGCUACUCCACCAUGGAUUGGGAGGGAGAGUUCUGGACGGGCUAUCUGCAUAAUUUUUGGAGCUUAACUAAGGAUUUGAAAUUCCUAUUUGCAGCAGUGGAGAUCCAUUGGUCAAAAAUUUAAAACAGAUUGCCAUGGGGAGGUACAGAGAAGCUGCAUUAGAUUGCGUGGUCUAGGCAUUUGGCUCUGCUACAGGGAGCCAAAGUGUCAUCGUUUUUAUAUCAAGUACCAGGUAACGAAUAGUUGGGAAACAGCUUACAUAACCCUAUGGUUCAAGGCAUCAAGUUUUCUCCACUGUCAGGAUGCUAACAAGAUACUGGACUAGUUUUUGGUUGGAGUGGUUCUUAAGACCAGAGUGAAAUGUCUUACAACAUAAACAGGGGUCCUUCAAUGGCAAAGAUGUUCAUAACAUCUAGCUUACUUGAAUAGGAAAUGAAUGUGUGUUUAUAUAGGUGUAAGCAGUUUAUAUUG